AUCAGGAUUGUACAAACGGGUGUUCAUUUGAAGCGCUUAGCGCCUAAAAUUAUGCAAUCGAUAAACAAAAACAACGUUAAUUAUCAUUUUCUUUGCAAGUUGCGAGUUUACAAGCUUUGUAUUUUCUGUUUAGCACAGCUAAUUAAAGGAGCAUAAGGAGAGCAUGACAUUUUUUAUCUUUCCUCUCGCUUCACGUGUAAAGGGGAGAGAAAAAAAUACGAAUAUCUAUACCAUGAAACUAAUCAAUGCUCACUUGGCACAACGGCCAUUCAUUAGGCGCAGGAAGGAAAUAUAUGGGAAGAAGCUAUUUGACUGAAUACCCUUCCCUUGCGCGUAUUCCCGUGUAACAACAUAAAUGAAUUGUUGAAUCAAUCGAUCGUUGGCAUAAAAAUCGGAAACCUGCCCCAGUGUAACUUCAAUCGAAUUGAGAAGACAGAGCGGCAGGGUACGGGCAAGGGACAUGUAGCAUUCCAAUGAAAAACUCCCCUUGACCGAAGGUUAGAGGGUAGGAGGGUUCUCCACACCCAAAAACCCGGUUCCGGUUGAAUGCAUCGCGCACCUCUGUGUUGUGGUCCCUGCUGUUGCUUGUUUUUUGUCGAACUACCCCAAACCGCACCCAGGUUUUUUUGUGUUGUCUUUCCGUGCCAAACCCUUUUAUUUAAACCACCCGCACAUCCCACUCAUUCCACACACACACACACGUGCGCGCAUAGAAACGAACUCAUUCGCCAUCGAAAAAGAACCGUUUCGGUAGGUAAAUCGGACGGGGGUUUUUUGUAUUGUUUUCCUCAUUACUUUUCCUGCGUCUGGCAGCUAACUUGCCGUACUUUGUCAACUUCAUCAACUCGGUACGUGAGCCCCGUUUCAGCUCCGUUUAGCUUCCUACACCAUACACCGAUUACACGAUCGGAGCAUCAAACAGCUUUUCGCCAGUGAGGCGAUCGCUAUUUCCAGCUGGAUGAGAUUCAAAUUAAAGCACCGUAUUUGGUCACACGUGUGCUCGCGCGCGUGUGUGUGUGUACGGGAGACCACCCUUACAAAACAUAAUAUAAGUACGCAGCGUACGGUCAUCAGCAUAAAAUGUAUCAACCAUCGUUUCCCUUCCCGACCGCCCCAAAAAAAAAAGCAUCCAACAAACAUUUGUGUGUUGGAGCGUGCACCGUUGCAAAAAUGGCGCUGCAAAACCGUGUCAGCCUACCCGAAAAACUGACAUCUACGGGUGAAGGGGUGUUCCCAUACCGGAAGCAGCAUCCACAAACUGUUUCGCUACCCUUCACCGGUGUGCGGAAGUGCGGAAGUAUUCUGUCCCCAAAAACUCACACGGUUCGAUAACCGUUUUGUGCUUGAAUUUUCGACCAUCCACAGUGGAGCUGAGUGUACGUUGUUGGUUGCAGAGGAGUAUGCACAUGUGUGUGUGUGUGUGUGUGGAAAUGGCAGGGGGCAAUUGCAACUAGAGGGUGCCGUUUUCAGCAUCGCAGCUGGUGUCUCGACCGGGUGAACGAUGUGCUUCGGCAUGUGAUCAGUAGUCCGCGGUGAUUAGCAUGAGGCAGACGAACACCUACCGUAAACCGUGCGGAGUUGGGCGUGUGGCUGUCGCGCGCAUUUCUGUGAGUGUUCGGGAACCAAUAAAGUGUAGCUUUUUUACCCAUAAGAUCUUCUAAACUUUAACCAUAUAAUCCAUUCGUUGUGAUCUGCUUAACGGUGAAAAGGAAUCUGUGGUGCGUAAAGUUUGACAAAACGUUACUGAGCAUCGAUACUGCCAAUUCUUGAUAAGUAGACGUACUGUUUCGAAACUCAGAAAGGCUGAAACAGUUCUGCAUAUCACUGAGCAAACAUCUACAUUGGAGUUCCUCGUCCCCGUGUGCCAAAUAUCAAGAUACGCCGAAAGAUCCUGAAAUUCGUGUACGAUCAACCUAACCUUCGUAAGGAACAACCUUCAAACGUGCAAGAAACGUACAGCAAACGUUCACCAUUAUCUUCAUGUCCAUUCCAAAAUCGCCCAAAAACGAACCGCUUGCCCUAAACGGUUACACGCAAUAACGUUUUCAGCAUCAUUGCCAUUGUAGCCAAAUGGGCCGUACAGACACCGUUACCAUUGCCUCCUUCACAUGCAAAAAAGGCAAGGUAGUUACUCUAGCCUCAAACCAGUGCCACCGGAGGCUUAUAUUUACGCCGACAGCCUUAAGUGCUAUGUAAAGCGGGAAAACUUCGUCUUCCUUAUAUCUACCUUUCAAUGUCCGUACCCCUCUCUCUUUCUCUCUAUCUCUUUUCUACCUCCUCUUACUCCGCUAUCAGUCAGGUUUCGUCUGAAGACUUCUCAACAGGUGUGCAAGCGGUGUAUAUGCUUCACUGCCCGUUCGCAAUCUGCUCGCUACCAUCCGUUUCCAAACCCUGACUGCUGGCUUUCAAACUCCUUUCCACUGAUCCCACACCAUCGUUAUCGGAUCGGAGAACACCCUGUUUCCCUGUACAUAAGGACGUUUCGGGAAGAGGCCUCAAUAUCCCCUGGAUACCUGGUGGAGUCAUUUCGCGCCAACACAUGCGUCCUUCUACCUUUCUGAGGUAUGGCUCUACACCUUCUGCAAUACGCGCAGGAUGCAUUGGAGCAUCGUUUUUCUGUGACACUACGGCAGUACGGCCACAACUAUUGGCGUGCUGUGCAUUCGCAUCCCAUCCCUGGGAAAUCCUUUCCACCCAUCCUUAUCCAUUCCUCUUUCCCCACUUCUUCUAUAGCACCAUCAUGCUAUAAAGUCCUCCAUUAUGGCACACUUGCUUUUACAUUCUAGCAAAUUAACGCUCCAAAAACCCGAUGCGUUCGAAGCGGCAAAAAGGCUUAGCCGUUGGCAGGUACGGGGUAGGGGGAGUGGGGAGAGCAUCAAUCGAAUUGACUCUUUCCACGGUUCCAACCACCACCAAUCCACACUCAUCCUGUGAAAAGCUAACCGGUACGCUACAACAGGAACGUUGCACUUUUCCCGCACUUUUGCAUCCAGUUCACGUCCACCUUGCAGCAUGGCCAAUUAGAACGGUGACGACAGCCAAUUUUCAUGUACCCUCUCUCUCACUCUCACUCUUGUCAUACCACUCUUUCUCACUCUUUCUAUCUGUAUCCCAGCUGUAGUUUUCCCUCCUGUUCUGCUGCAUGCGGAUUGACAGUGGGAAACUGCCAUACACCAUGUCCUGCGGCGCAUGAGCACCAUGCAAAGCAGAGCAAACAUAGUACCGUGUGGCGAAAACACGGCAAGAACGAAAUUGCUACUCCACAUAUAAAACAUCAUCCCUCAGCUGUACAUCUUACUUUACCGUUUUCCUGCUGAUUAUGGUCCGUUUGUUGUCGUUCGUAUCGGUAUACUCGUCUACUUGCGAAAUCGUCGGGGAGCGAGAGAGAGAAUCAGAUGGAGAAAAGGAGAGAGAAGAUAGGACAAAACCAUUGCGCCCAUUUAUCGUGCUUAACAAAGAUCGGGGGCUGGGAAAAAGGGGUUGAAUAUGGGGUGGGGUGGGGUAGGGAAGAUUGAAUGGGUGCAGGAGGGAAAAGACACGAGUGGCUACAGAAAAAAAACGAAUACCACCCUAGCAGCAAAUCAACUUCCUUUCACAUGCAUCCGCUUUCUUUCGUUACUUUCUUGAGGCCCUGUUCACACAUCUUGUUCUAGGGUGGAUGAGUGUCCUUAGAUUGGAUAAAGGGUAGCUAUUUUAGGGUGGAAGAAAAUAGAAGACGCGCCGCGUGUGCGUGUACAACACAUGACACAAACAUGAAACAGUAACAGAGAGAAAGAAAAACGAGAGAGAGAGAGAGAGAGAAAGAGUG
Molecule: long non-coding RNA, 3808 nt
Organism: Anopheles funestus (African malaria mosquito)
Lineage: Eukaryota; Metazoa; Arthropoda; Insecta; Diptera; Culicidae
Exons: 3
Source: RefSeq, a predicted model, not a curated record